Molecule: ribosomal RNA, 312 nt
Filed under: Triticum aestivum (bread wheat)
Lineage: Eukaryota; Viridiplantae; Streptophyta; Magnoliopsida; Poales; Poaceae
Description: partial small subunit ribosomal RNA
Source: RNAcentral
UCGCCGCUGUCGCUGUGCCACAAGCUGCGGACCACCGUGUGCCGUUGCUUCGGCUCACCGUCCUCGCGGGGCAGCUGCGCGGAGAGGCCGCACACCGGCGGCAGAAGGGCCAGGUGGAGGCAGCGCGUGGCGGCCACGGGGAAGUUCAUGUACGACCCGCUCAGCUACGCGCUCAACUUCGACGACGGAGCCAGCGACGACGGCAACCAGGACGCGGAGGAUGCUGUCUUCCGGUACCGGAACUUCAACUCACGCCUGCCACCCUCGCAGGCGCCGGCAGCCCCGCGUCUCACCACGCUCAUCAUCGCCUGA